GGUAGAGUUUGAUUGAGAGGUCAGGAGAGGACUCAGCCAUCAAAGGCAUCCAACUUGAAGACUAGAGAUACCCCCAGGGGCAAGGAAGUAUAUGCUUUGAUGGUGGUAAACCCUGAGUGGCUCCUACAACAGGAUUGAGAAGGGUAAUUUUGCA
Molecule: long non-coding RNA, 154 nt
Filed under: Felis catus (domestic cat)
Lineage: Eukaryota; Metazoa; Chordata; Mammalia; Carnivora; Felidae
Description: lncRNA (ENSFCAG00000046312.2)
Source: RNAcentral